This 445-nucleotide ribosomal RNA is filed under the name uncultured bacterium. Its description in RNAcentral is "bacterial SSU rRNA". It matches the Rfam family "Bacterial small subunit ribosomal RNA", at positions 355 to 822 of the family's 1533-position model. The record is from RNAcentral.
UGGGGAAUAUUGGACAAUGGGCGCAAGCCUGAUCCAGCCAUGCCGCGUGAGUGACGAAGGUCUUCGGAUUGUAAAGCUCUUUUUGGCGGGGACGAUAAUGACGGUACCCGCAGAAUAAGCCCCGGCUAACUUCGUGCCAGCAGCCGCGGUAAUACGAAGGGGGCUAGCGUUGUUCGGAAUCACUGGGCGUAAAGCGCACGUAGGCGGAUUUGUUAGUCAGGGGUGAAAUCCCGGGGCUCAACCUCGGAACUGCCUCUGAUACUGCAAAUCUCGAGUCCGAUAGAGGUGAGUGGAAUUCCUAGUGUAGAGGUGAAAUUCGUAGAUAUUAGGAAGAACACCAGUGGCGAAGGCGGCUCACUGGAUCGGUACUGACGCUGAGGUGCGAAAGCGUGGGGAGCAAACAGGAUUAGAUACCCGUGUAGUCCCUGAGCGGGCUGGCAAGGCG